AUGGCUCAGAGUGAACGCUGGCGGCAGGCCUAAUACAUGCAAGUCGAACGGCAGCACAGCAGAGCUUGCUCUGUGGGUGGCGAGUGGCGGACGGGUGAGGAAUACAUGGGAAUCUGCCCAGUCGUGGGGGAUAACGUAGGGAAACUUACGCUAAUACCGCAUGCGCCCUUCGGGGAAAGCCGGGGACCUUCGGGCCUGGCGCGAUUGGAUGAGCCCAUGUCGGAUUAGCUAGUUGGCGGGGUAAUGGCCCACCAAGGCGACGAUCCGUAGCUGGUCUGAGAGGAUGAUCAGCCACACUGGAACUGAGACACGGUCCAGACUCCUACGGGAGGCAGCAGUAGGGAAUAUUGGACAAUGGGCGCAAGCCUGAUCCAGCCAUGCCGCGUGAGUGAAGAAGGCCCUCGGGUUGUAAAGCUCUUUUGUCCGGAAAGAAAAGCGCCGGGUUAAUACCCUAGUGUCCUGACGGUACCGGAAGAAUAAGCACCGGCUAACUUCGUG
Molecule: ribosomal RNA, 498 nt
Filed under: uncultured bacterium
Lineage: Bacteria
Description: bacterial SSU rRNA
Rfam family: Bacterial small subunit ribosomal RNA
Source: RNAcentral